CUACGGGGUGCACCAGUGGGGAAUAUUGGACAAUGGGGGAAACCCUGAUCCAGCAAUGCCGCGUGUGUGAAGAAGGCCUGCGGGUUGUAAAGCACUUUCGGUUGGGAGGACUGCUUCUAGCACUAAUAUUGUUGGAAGUUGACGUUACCUUCAGAAGAAGCACCGGAUAACUCCGUGCCAGCAGCCGCGGUAAUACGGAGGGUGCAAGCGUUAAUCGGAAUUACUGGGCGUAAAGCGCGCGUAGGCGGCUAGAUCAGUCGGGUGUGAAAGCCCCGGGCUUAACCUGGGAACUGCAUCCGAUACUGUCUAGCUUGAGUACAGGAGAGGAGAGUGGAAUUCCACAUGUAGCGGUGAAAUGCGUAGAUAUGUGGAGGAGCACCAAUGGCGAAGGCAGCUCUCUGGCCUGAUACUGACGCUGAGGUGCGGAAGCGUGGGGAGCAAACAGGAUUAGAUACCCCCGUAGUC
Molecule: ribosomal RNA, 465 nt
Filed under: uncultured bacterium
Lineage: Bacteria
Description: partial 16S ribosomal RNA
Rfam family: Bacterial small subunit ribosomal RNA
Source: RNAcentral